UGGUCAUGAAUCAUGGAUCUGUAAUGACCACUACACCAAGAAUAAGAACCUAUCAGUAUCACAUGGCUGCUGAGUCCAAGAGUCCGAGAUCUCAAUACAAAGCUUGUGACCGUAGCCUCCCGGAACUUCAGCCUCUGUGUCUGCAGAGUGAACAUCACAACUCUACCUUGCCAAAUUAUGACCAUACUCAGUACAUGGACCAGGGACAGGCAGACACUAAGAACAUAAGACAAGUUAUGCCAUGGAUUCACAAUGUCUCGAUCGAUGGAACAAAGUCGGUGGUGCUAUGAGCUAGGCAGAGAAAUUCAAAGCCAGAGUGCCUGCGGACUCACUACCUGCCCGGCUUGGUCAUAGGAGUUUGUUUUCUUGGUGCUUCCCAACAUGGAAGAAGAUCUUAAGAAUUAGAAAGGAGAAUUAUGAGACUCCAUGUAGCUACCUAACCAGGACAAAUAGCAAAGAAGACCCUUAAAGACAAAUGAACCAGGAUAAAGCCAAGGAGAAGCAUUCUAGGAAAAGCAAGCAGCAUGUGCAAAGGUCCUGAGGAUUUAUUCAUCUUGGAAAAACACCUGUGUGAGUGUCUCUGAGGGCGUUGUCUGAGAGAACAGACUGAGAAAGGCUUGCCUUGAAUUUGAGUGGCUCCAUAUCCUGGCCUGGAGUCCUGCCCUGAAUAAAAAAGGAGAAAAUGUGCUC
Molecule: non-coding RNA, 690 nt
Organism: Rattus norvegicus (Norway rat)
Lineage: Eukaryota; Metazoa; Chordata; Mammalia; Rodentia; Muridae
Source: RefSeq, a predicted model, not a curated record